Molecule: ribosomal RNA, 252 nt
Filed under: uncultured bacterium
Lineage: Bacteria
Description: partial 16S ribosomal RNA
Rfam family: Bacterial small subunit ribosomal RNA
Source: RNAcentral
UACGUAGGGGGCAAGCGUUGUCCGGAAUUAUUGGGCGUAAAGCGCGCGCAGGCGGUUAUUUAAGUUGGGUGUUUAAUCCCGGGGCUCAACCUCGGGUCGCACCCAAAACUGGGUAACUUGAGUACAGAAGAGGAAAGUGGAAUUCCACGUGUAGCGGUGAAAUGCGUAGAGAUGUGGAGGAACACCAGUGGCGAAGGCGACUUUCUGGGCUGUAACUGACGCUGAGGCGCGAAAGCGUGGGGAGCAAACAGG